RNAcentral lists this ribosomal RNA (475 nucleotides) under uncultured bacterium. Its description in RNAcentral is "SSU rRNA". It matches the Rfam family "Bacterial small subunit ribosomal RNA", at positions 26 to 518 of the family's 1533-position model. The record is from RNAcentral.
AGGACGAACGCUGGCGGCGUGCUUAACACAUGCAAGUCGAGCGGAAAGGCCCUUCGGGGUACUCGAGCGGCGAACGGGUGAGUAACACGUGAGCAACCUGCCCUUAGCUCUGGGAUAGCUCCGGGAAACCGGAAUUAAUACCGGAUAUGACCUAGGCCGACAUCGGCCGUGGUGGAAAGUUUUUCGGCUAGGGAUGGACUCGCGGCCUAUCAGCUAGUUGGUGGGGUAAUGGCCUACCAAGGCGACGACGGGUAGCCGGCCUGAGAGGGCGACCGGCCACACUGGGACUGAGACACGGCCCAGACUCCUACGGGAGGCAGCAGUGGGGAAUCUUGCGCAAUGGGCGAAAGCCUGACGCAGCGACGCCGCGUGGGGGAUGAAGGCCUUCGGGUUGUAAACCCCGUUUCAGCAGGGACGAAGCGAAAGUGACGGUACCUGCAGAAGAAGCGCCGGCUAACUACGUGCCAGCAGCCGC